This 75-nucleotide transfer RNA is filed under the name Fimbriimonas ginsengisoli. RNAcentral describes it as "tRNA-Gly". It matches the Rfam family "tRNA". From Rfam's summary of the family: Transfer RNA (tRNA) molecules are approximately 80 nucleotides in length. Their secondary structure includes four short double-helical elements and three loops (D, anti-codon, and T loops). The record is from RNAcentral. Lineage: Bacteria; Bacillati; Armatimonadota; Fimbriimonadia; Fimbriimonadales; Fimbriimonadaceae.
GCGGGUGUGGCCCAAUGGUAGGGCAGGACCUUCCCAAGGUCAAGGUUGCGAGUUCGAGUCUCGUCACCCGCUCCA